CUCUCCUUCCAGCAGCUUCCUGUAGGUGGCGAUCUCAAUAUCCAGAGCCAGUUUCAAGUUCAUCAGGUCCUGCAGGCGGCUGAUCAGUCGGUUGAUCUCGGCGAUCUCUCCCUUCACGAUGCGGAGCUCGUCCCCAAACUGGCUGGCCUGGACUGACAUUUGGUCAAACUGCAAACAGAAUAGCUGUGAAUGGCCUCUGCUUCCUCUCGACUGCGGGCUGCAAUCUCCUCAUACUGAGAUUUGACCUCAGCUACAAUCUGCUCCAUGUUCAGACUGCGGCUGUUGUCCAUCUGCACCACAACUGAGGUCCAUCUGGCGCCUCAGACCUGCCAUGUAGGCCUCAAACAGGGGUUCCACAUUAGAUCGGCUGACCCCCUGACCCUGCAGCAGCUCCAGUUUUGUCUCAAGCAUCUUAUUCUGCUGCUCCAGAUACCGUACCUGGUGAGGGAAGAGGACACAGAUCAUUUAGGAUUUUCUAAACACACAAUGAAGACUGCAAUCAUCAUCAGCAGCUCCAGAAUAACGCACAGAGGAAUGCCAUCACUCCAGCAGAUAACCAGCUCGAGCUCAGUGUCAACACCUGAAUAUAUUCCAGCCCUGUACUUGCCCGGCUCGUGUUUCCUGCCUGCAGCCAGGUACAUCCAGCGCCUAUUAUACCUUCCAACACAAAGCCUGUGUUCUGUUCAUGACAGAAUAACCUCCCUCUAAGACACAACCAUACGGUGUCUAGCCUGAUCUAUCAGGUUACAGAUUGAACUCAAUGGGACGGAAAUGGGACAGAUAGCUUGAAUAUCCAGCAUCCCAGUGCCAUACACUCAUGCAGUAAAUGACCAUUUAAUCCCAGAUGUUUAACUCCAACUUUGAUGUUCACUGACGUGCAGCUUUAACUGGAGUCAUCGUCUUACAACAAGUGAAACGUUGUCUUCCUGAUGCAUUUCACUAAUUACUUCUCUGCAUGAGAGAAGCAGCUCGCUAAUGUUUAAUUUAAAGAGUUCCUCCCAAGUAGGAUUGGAUGAUAGUCGUAACUGCAAGGUCAGUUUAUUUAUCAAUUCACUCAACUUUGCAUUUUAGUAAUUGUCAUAAUCAGUAAGGGGGUCAUUUUAGGCCUCCAGAUUUUAAUCCCAGGUUAAGCAGAAAUCCAAUCUUGGAUAAAUGAACAAAGAGGGGAAAACUGGGCAAGACAUUUUUUAAAAGCCAGGUUGACUCUCAUGAGUUUCUGCAUCUGAAGGUCUCUAAGGACAAGGACUCUUUGUGUGGGGGAAGUCACAUAAGCCAUCUCAUUUACGGAGACAAAUGGACAGUGUUUCCAAAUGUUUUCUAUGAACAUUCACAAUAUUUUGUCUUAUUCGGUAAAUAGACUGUCUGGUUUUAUUUUACAGCUCUGCAGAACUGCACAAAAUAUCAA
Long non-coding RNA from Oreochromis niloticus (Nile tilapia), 1405 nucleotides. RefSeq lists it as uncharacterized. The record is from RefSeq and is a predicted model, not a curated record. Lineage: Eukaryota; Metazoa; Chordata; Actinopteri; Cichliformes; Cichlidae. The transcript has 5 exons.